This 450-nucleotide ribosomal RNA is filed under the name uncultured bacterium. RNAcentral describes it as "bacterial SSU rRNA". It matches the Rfam family "Bacterial small subunit ribosomal RNA", at positions 354 to 796 of the family's 1533-position model. The record is from RNAcentral.
GUGGGGAAUAUUGGACAAUGGGCGAAAGCCUGAUCCAGCCAUGCCGCGUGUGUGAAGAAGGUCUUCGGAUUGUAAAGCACUUUAAGUUGGGAGGAAGGGCAGUAAGUUAAUACCUUGCUGUUUUGACGUUACCGACAGAAUAAGCACCGGCUAACUUCGUGCCAGCAGCCGCGGUAAUACGAAGGGUGCAAGCGUUAAUCGGAAUUACUGGGCGUAAAGCGCGCGUAGGUGGUUUUGUAAGUUGGAGGUGAAAUCCCCGGGCUCAACCUGGGAACUGCCUCAAAAACUACUGAGAGAGAGUACGGUAAAGGGUAGUGGAAUUUCCUGUGUAGCGGUGAAAUGCGUAGAUAUAGGAAGGAACACCAGUGGCGAAGGCGACUACCUGGACUGAUACUGACACUGAGGUGCGAAAGCGUGGGGAGCAAACAGGAUUAGAAACCCUGGUAGUCC